UUAGCAUUGUUUAUCCUAUAAUCUCACUAUUCCAAAUUCCAAUUUGAUAAAGUAUUGUUGCAAUAGAACCAAAUACUUUUGUCAUUGACCUUUCCAAUGCAGACCUGCAAAAAAGUUGGUCUUUGGCUGCAUCCACACCCUUCUGGUCUUAUCAUCAAACAACUCUUCUCUCUCUCUCUCUCUCUCUCUCUAUCUCUCUCUCUCUCUCUCUCUCUCUCUCUCUCUCUCUCUCUCCACUACAACUUUUGUUUCUCUUUUGUCAUUUGCUUGUACUCUCUCAACCGCUUCUACUCUCUCAACCGCGGUUGUAUUCUCUUCAGCAGUUUCUUCUCCUUUCUACUCUCAAAAGGAAUGUUUUCUUUGUUGAUUUUACCUAGAUCCAUAUUAUUCCGAGUUUGAUUUAUUCUUUCCACUCUAUCACUUUUUAUUGCAAAUUAGGUUUUUUGAGUAGCUAUGGAAAUGAAGAAGGUGAACAGUUGAAGAGAUGAACCACGGGUUAGAGAUCGAAGAAAUGGAGGUUCUGGCGAGAUGAUAUUUAGAGUUUAUCCCUUAUUUUGUAGAUUUGCUUAUUCAGAUCCAGUUUUUUAUUAUGAGAUAUACUUGCAUCUGGUACUGUAUUUCGUGAGACAUAACUGUUUGGCUUGUGGUCAUAACAAAGAAUAAAAAUAAUGAUGGAUCUGAAUCGCAAUCGACAAAAUCAAAACGCUGAACAAUGUUGGGUGUUUAACCCUAUCAUAGAUACCUCUUCCAGUGGUCCCAGAUCUCAUCGAGAUAAAAUUCUAGAGAAAAGGAGUUUGGAAGCAAAGAUGGCCAAGUUAAAUAGUUUGAUGAUAGAUGGAAUUACUAAUAAGGAUCCUAUUGGAGCAAAUGACUCAGUAAGUUACUUUUUGUUGUUGAUAUUCAUUUGUUUUUUUCCUUCUUCCUGUUGGUGAAUUCAAGAAAUAUAUGCUUAGUGUUUUUUCUUUCUGCUUUUCUGUAAUUUUAGACAUGUUUUUGUUAACUAACAAGACUCUUAUUUCAGCUUUUUUUUCUUUCCGAUUGUUUGAUAUUUGUAAAUGUUUUUUCAUUGUUCAUCUAUUGAGAGAUAUGGUUUCUGGUAUUAUUUUUUCAUAUUUGGUUUCAUGUUUCGCAAGUGAGCAAUGUAUAGUUUCAUGAUCUUGGAAUUGAACAACGGUUAACUAUGCGUUUAGCUUUCGACGAUAUCUUUUCAGGUUGUAGUCGGCGAAAGACUACAAACUUUGUUAUUAUUGCAAUUUUAAUGGUGUUUUCUUGGAUUGUUGAGAGAAACCAUUUCAAGUAUGGCUACAGAGAGCUUACGCAGUAAAACCAAAGAUUACUUUUAAAAGAUAUCUGUUUGGUUUUCCAGAUUUGGUUUCCUACUUAUUACAUGAUCAUAGGGCUCUGUUACUAAAUUUCAAUCUGGUUAUUGGUUUUACUCUGCAUUUUACAGUGACUCAACUAGAAUAGUUAUGUGCAUGCAGAUGGUUCUUAGUGGUAAAGUGCAAUGUUGUAAACAAAUAGUUGCGCUUUCUAGCGAUGAGGGGAAGGUGAUCGUACUAACAAAAAGCAGUUUAUAAAUUAUAAUCCUUUUCAUUUUGUUUUCAACUCCAUAACAGCUGCAGUUUCAUGUAUAAUUGAACUCCAAUACAGUCACAUUCUUUGUACACAGUAAGUUAUAUGGUGCUUAAUUCUGCAGCUUCUGAUCUCACAUUUAUGGCUUUAUAUGUUCUGGUGAGUCCUAAAGUUGAACAACAUAUAAGCGAUAUCAAA
This is an RNA transcript of Vicia villosa (hairy vetch), 1770 nucleotides long. RefSeq lists it as uncharacterized. The record is from RefSeq and is a predicted model, not a curated record. The transcript is spliced from 5 exons. NCBI's taxonomy places the organism in Eukaryota, Viridiplantae, Streptophyta, Magnoliopsida, Fabales, Fabaceae.